CCUACGGGUGGCAGCAGUGGGGAAUAUUGGACAAUGGGGGGAGCCCUGAUCCAGCGACGCCGCGUGAGUGAAGAAGUAUUUCGGUAUGUAAAGCUCUAUCAGCAGGGAAGAAAAUGACGGUACCUGAAGAAAAAGCAUCGGCUAACUCCGUGCCAGCAGCCGCGGUAAUACGGAGGAUGCGAGCGUUAUCCGGAUUUAUUGGGUUUAAGGGGUGCGUAGGCGGAAUAUCAAGUCAGCGGUAAAAAUUCGGGGCUCAACCCCGUCGUGCCGUUGAAACUGAUGUUCUUGAUUGGGCGAGAAGUAUGCGGAAUGCGUGGUGUAGCGGUGAAAUGCAUAGAUAUCACGCAGAACUCCGAUUGCGAAGGCAGCAUACCGGCGCCCAACUGACGCUGAAGCACGAAAGCGUGGGUAUCGAACAGGAUUAGAUACCCGAGUAGUC
Molecule: ribosomal RNA, 439 nt
Filed under: uncultured bacterium
Lineage: Bacteria
Description: partial 16S ribosomal RNA
Rfam family: Bacterial small subunit ribosomal RNA
Source: RNAcentral